GACGAACGCUGGCGGCGUGCUUAACACAUGCAAGUCGAACGGUGAACUCCGCUUGCGGGGGGAUCAGUGGCGAACGGGUGAGUAACACGUGGGCAACCUGCCCUCAGCUCUGGGAUAACUCCAAGAAAUUGGGGCUAAUACCGGAUAUGACCGCUGACCGCAUGGUCUGGUGGUGGAAAGAUUUAUCGGCUGGGGAUGGGCCCGCGGCCUAUCAGCUUGUUGGUGGGGUAGUGGCCUACCAAGGCGACGACGGGUAGCCGGCCUGAGAGGGUGACCGGCCACACUGGGACUGAGACACGGCCCAGACUCCUACGGGAGGCAGCAGUGGGGAAUAUUGCGCAAUGGGCGAAAGCCUGACGAAGCGACGCCGCGUGGGGGAUGACGGCCUUCGGGUUGUAAACCUCUUUCAGCAGGGACGAAGCGAAAGUGAGGGUACCUGAAGAAGAAGCACGGGCCAACUACGUG
RNAcentral lists this ribosomal RNA (465 nucleotides) under uncultured bacterium. RNAcentral describes it as "partial 16S ribosomal RNA". It matches the Rfam family "Bacterial small subunit ribosomal RNA", at positions 28 to 507 of the family's 1533-position model. The record is from RNAcentral.